This 1006-nucleotide ribosomal RNA is filed under the name uncultured bacterium. RNAcentral describes it as "bacterial SSU rRNA". It matches the Rfam family "Bacterial small subunit ribosomal RNA", at positions 494 to 1502 of the family's 1533-position model. The record is from RNAcentral.
CGGGAUUGUGCCCGCAGCCGCGGUAAUACAGAGGGUGCAAGCGUUAAUCGGAUUUACUGGGCGUAAAGCGUGCGUAGGCGGCUAAUUAAGUCGGAUGUGAAAUCCCCGAGCUCAACUUGGGAAUUGCAUUCGAUACUGGUUAGCUAGAGUAUGGGAGAGGAUGGUAGAAUUCCAGGUGUAGCGGUGAAAUGCGUAGAGAUCUGGAGGAAUACCGAUGGCGAAGGCAGCCAUCUGGCCUAAUACUGACGCUGAGGUACGAAAGCAUGGGGAGCAAACAGGAUUAGAUACCCUGGUAGUCCAUGCCGUAAACGAUGUCUACUAGCCGUUGGGGCCUUUGAGGCUUUAGUGGCGCAGCUAACGCGAUAAGUAGACCGCCUGGGGAGUACGGUCGCAAGACUAAAACUCAAAUGAAUUGACGGGGGCCCGCACAAGCGGGUGGAGCAUGUGGUUUAAUUCGAUGCAACGCGACGAACCUCACUUGGUCUUGACAUAGUAAGAACUUUCCAGAGAUGGAUUGGUGCCUUCGGGAACUUACAUACAGGUGCUGCAUGGCUGUCGUCAGCUCGUGUCGUGAGAUGUUGGGUUAAGUCCCGCAACGAGCGCAACCCUUUUCCUUAUUUGCCAGCGGGUUAAGCCGGGAACUUUAAGGAUACUGCCAGUGACAAACUGGAGGAAGGCGGGGACGACGUCAAGUCAUCAUGGCCCUUACGACCAGGGCUACACACGUGCUACAAUGGUCGGUACAAAGGGUUGCUACAUAGCGAUAUGAUGCUAAUCUCAAAAAGCCGAUCGUAGUCCGGAUUGGAGUCUGCAACUCGACUCCAUGAAGUCGGAAUCGCUAGUAAUCGCGGAUCAGAAUGCCGCGGUGAAUACGUUCCCGGGCCUUGUACACACCGCCCGUCACACCAUGGGAGUUUGUUGCACCAGAAGUGGGUAGGAUAACCGUAAGGAGUCCGCUCACCACGGUGUGGCCAAUGACUGGGGUGAAGUCGUAACAAGGUAACCG